CCAGGUGGCAUAUCAUAUGGCCGUGGAUUCGGUGGUGGAUUUGGUGGAGGAAUUGGCCAUGGAUUAGGAGGUGGAUUUGGUGGAGGAAUUGGCCAUGGAUUAGGAGGUGGAUUCGGGGGUGGAUUUGGCCAUGGGGGUGGAUUCGGUGGAGUCUCUGUUGUCCGACCCGUGAUAAGCAGUCGUUACCGUCAGCAGAGGAAUCGGACACGGAGGAUUCGGAGGAAUUGGAGGAUUCGGAGGCAGACGGUAUGGCGGCUAUGGGUGGUAAAAUUGAUUAGGGAGAUUACAAUUAAUAAAAUGUCAUAAAUUAA
Long non-coding RNA from Macrobrachium nipponense, 311 nucleotides. RefSeq lists it as uncharacterized. The transcript has 2 exons. Lineage: Eukaryota; Metazoa; Arthropoda; Malacostraca; Decapoda; Palaemonidae. The record is from RefSeq and is a predicted model, not a curated record.